Molecule: long non-coding RNA, 536 nt
Organism: Tympanuchus pallidicinctus (lesser prairie-chicken)
Lineage: Eukaryota; Metazoa; Chordata; Aves; Galliformes; Phasianidae
Exons: 4
Source: RefSeq, a predicted model, not a curated record
CUCAAUUCAUAAGGGCAGAAGAAACACUUCUGAGAAAUUCCCUGGAACACAUCCCAUGCUCAAAGAACAAGACGGUCUGUAAAAGUUUGAAUUAUUGCUUUCUCAAAUCAGAAUUGGUGCUGGAAAAAUCAUCUGGAAACAGCAUUGGGCAAUCUCUAGAUUUAGUGAGAAGAAAGAAAUAUGAUAUAAUUUGAACUGCCUGCUAGGAGCUACCUGAGAAUGUGCAUUACACAAAUACAGCAGAUGAGGCUUGCAAGGAAUUCUCCCAGAAGUAGAUCUUCUGGGAUGGUCAGAUCUGUGUGAGAAAGGACUCAGCAUCCUCCCUGAUGAGCUCAGUAAUACAUGACCUCUUACCAGAGGAGGCCAUCUUGCUAAAGCAGCACUCACACAACAUCGCUUUUGACAGCCAGCACGCUGCAAGAAGCCGACAGCAAACAUCAGACCAUCUGAGGAUGUGUUCAGCAAGCAAGAGACAAACUGUGAUAUUUGUUCCUUGUUGCAGAACUGGUGGGCCUGCUACAGGAAAGUGUGCUGAG